This 919-nucleotide ribosomal RNA is filed under the name uncultured organism. RNAcentral's name for it is "bacterial SSU rRNA". It matches the Rfam family "Bacterial small subunit ribosomal RNA", at positions 561 to 1479 of the family's 1533-position model. The record is from RNAcentral.
UAAAGGGCGCGUAGCCGGUUUGUUAAGUCGAAGGUGAAUCCUCGGGCUCAACUCGAGAAUUGCCUUCGAUACUGGCAAACUAGAGUGCCGGAGAGGAAAGCGGAACUCUUGGUGUAACGGUGGAAUGUGUAGAUAUCAAGAGGAACACCGGUGGCGAAGGCGGCUUUCUGGACGCACACUGACGCUCAGGCGCGAAAGCGUGGGUAGCAAACAGGAUUAGAUACCCUGGUAGUCCACGCCAUAAACGAUGGGUACUAGGUGUCGGGGGUAUCGACCCCUCCGGUGCCGCAGUUAACGCACUAAGUACCCCGCCUGGGGAUUAUGGUCGCAAGGCUGAAACUCAAAGGAAUUGACGGGGCCCCGCACAAGCGGUGGAGCAUGUGGUUUAAUUCGACGCAACGCGAAGAACCUUACCUGGGCUUGACAUGCUUGGGACAGCGCUGGAAACAGCGUCUCUCCUUCGGGAGCCCUUGCACAGGUGCUGCAUGGCUGUCGUCAGCUCGUGUCGUGAGAUGUUGGGUUAAGUCCCGCAACGAGCGCAACCCUCGUUACUAGUUGCCAUCAGUUCGGCUGGGCACUCUAGUGAGACUGCCGGUGAUAAACCGGAGGAAGGUGAGGAUGAUGUCAAGUCAUCAUGGCCCUUACGCCCAGGGCUACACACGUGCUACAAUGGUCGGCACAAAGGGUCGCUAAGCCGCGAGGUGGAGCUAAUCCCAAAAAGCCGGCCUCAGUUCGGAUUGGAGUCUGCAACCCGACUCCAUGAAGGCGGAAUCGCUAGUAAUCGCGGAUCAGCAUGCCGCGGUGAAUAUGUUCACCGGGGCUUGUACGCACCGCCCGUCAUAUCACCCGAGUCGGGGAUACCCGAAGUCCGUGACCCAACCAUUUGGAGGGAGCGGCCGAAGGUGUGCCUGUAAGGGGG